Molecule: non-coding RNA, 100 nt
Organism: Acanthosepion pharaonis
Lineage: Eukaryota; Metazoa; Mollusca; Cephalopoda; Sepiida; Sepiidae
Source: the annotation of a GenBank genome assembly
UUACGGCCACAUCACGCUGCAACACAGUUUCCCGUGCGAUCAGCGAAGUUAAGCAAAGUCGUGCCUACUCAGUACCUCGAUGGGUGACAUUUUAGGAAUA